Molecule: ribosomal RNA, 442 nt
Filed under: uncultured bacterium
Lineage: Bacteria
Description: partial 16S ribosomal RNA
Rfam family: Bacterial small subunit ribosomal RNA
Source: RNAcentral
CCUACGGAUGGCAGCAGUGGGGAAUAUUGGGCAAUGGACGCAAGCCUGACCCAGCAACGCCGCGUGAAUGAAGAAGGCUUUCGGGUUGUAAACUUCUUUUCAGAGGGAAGAGGAGAAGACGGUACCUCUUGAAUUAACCCCGGGUAACCACGUUCCAGCCGCCGAGGGAAUACGUAGGUGGGCAGCUGUUUACGGAUUUACUGGGGGGAAAGGGGGUGCAGGCGGGCAAACAAGUAAGAUGUGAAAUCCCGGGGCUCAACCGCGGGACUACCAUUGAAACUGUUUGUCUUGAGUACCGGAGAGGCAAUUGGAAUUCCUUGUGUAGCGGUGGAAUGCGUAGAUAUAAGGAAGAACACCAGUGGCGAAGGCGGAUGGCUGGACGGUAACUGACGGUGAGGCGCGAAAGCGUGGGGAGCAAACAGGAUUAGAUACCCGAGUAGUC